CUGCAGACCGGGAGAGGCCACAGGAGCUCGGAUCUAGCAGUCUUCCACGGUGCCGGCACUGGGCCAGGGGCAGGGGCUGCGGCGCCGGCGUCUCCCCACCCCACCCACGACGGAGUCGCCAUCACCAGCGCCCGGCCGGGGCCGUCGAGGCGACACCAGGCGGUCUCAGCGAUCAGGGCCGCACGAAGGGAUCGGAGACAGAGAAACCAGGCUGUGACCGCUACAGAGAGACAACCCCUCCCGAGCUAACCGGUGGCUCAGGCGCUUUAAAUCCCUACGCGUGGAAGUAGGCAGGAAAAUGAAAUGAGCCACUGGGCCAAUCAGAAGUCUCCGCCCAACCUCGGAGGCGGGGCUUUCCCCCACGAACCAAUCAGAACCGUCGUCUCUGUUGCGCUUCCGCCAGCCUCACAAAGCGGUCUUUCCCGCGCCAAGUUCUGACUGUGCGGAGGUUGACCGGUCGCCAGAGGUGGAUGUGGGAGCCCCAAGGAGCCAGGCCUGUCAGGUGCCGGAAGAGCCUGCAGCCGCGGGCCGACCGGACACGAGAAUCGUGCUGCGGCCACCCCCGGGAGGCCACGUGGCCCUGGAAUACCCGCGACCAUGCCAUUGCUCUCGCGGCAACAGAGGGGCUCGGGGUGGCCCAGUGAGGAGGCCGAGGGCAGCAGUGGGACGUGCGGGGGGGGGGGGCCGCCCGACGUUGGCCAGGGCUCUGGGGUCCACUUGGCCGUGGCCGGCUUGUCCCUGGUGUGGCCUCUGGGCGUCGCGGGGUGAGCUGUCGGACCCCUAAGCCCCUGAGGCUGAGGUCGGGAGGCCCCGCGAGCACUCUGCCCAGCUUGGGGGCAAGGCCAAAGGUCAUCGGCGCCCGCAGCCAGCUCGCAGGGCUUGGGAGCCUUUGGGGGCUCUCAGUCCCCCCACGCACGUCCUGGUCAGCUGUCGCCCUCUAUCCAGCCCUCCCCCACACGUGUCCUCGCCGGUGGCCCGCCUCUUGUGAAUGGAGUGCGAGGGGAUUGCCAGGAAAGCUGGCGGAGGCCAGCACGUGAGCCGGCUGCAUCGGCAGAACGGGGCGGGGCGGAGCUGCCUCGCUGGCAGGGGUUUGGCCUGGCGGCUGAGGCCGGGUCAGGACACCAGCACCCCGGGCCGGCCAUGGCGUAGCAGGUGAAGCCGCCUCCUGUGGCGCCGGCAUCCCACAGCGGCGCCGGUUCACGUCCCGGCUGCUCCACUUCCAAUCCCGCUCCCUGCUGUGGCCUGGGAAAGCCGCGGAAGACGCCCGAGUGCCUGGGACCCUGCACCCGCGUGGGAGACCCCGAGGAGGCUCCUGGCUUCAGAUCGGCCCAGCUCCGCUCUGGCUGCUGGGACCAUCUGGGGAGUGACCCAGUGGACAGAACAUCUCUCUCUCUCUCUCUCUCUCCUCACUCAGCUUCCUGCUAACGCAGACAUGGCAGGGAGCGGCGAUGGGUCAAUCGUGUUCCUGCCACCCCAUCUGGAAGACCUGCAAUGCUGGGAUCCCCUGCCGUCCACGAGGGAGACUUGGAUGGAGGCACAGCAGAGCUGGACAGGAAGUGGAGCAGCCGGGACACAAACCAGCGCCCGCAUGGGAUGCCAGCACUGCAGGUGGCGGCUUUACCCACUACGCCACAAUGCCAGCCCUGAGGGACGUUUUAAGGUUGCAAGCUCUCCUAAAAAUGUUCUUUCUUUAUGAAUUUAAGAUGUACUUAUUUAUUGGAAAAGUAGAGUGACAGAGAGAGAGAGAGAGAGAGCGAGCUUCCAUCUGCUGGCCCCUCCCCAGGUAUCCUCAACAGCCAGGCUGAAGCCAGGAGCCAGGAAGCCCAUCCAGGUCUCCUGUGGGACUGGCAGGCACCCAGACACUGGGGCCACUGAAGACACGGCUCUGCCUGCACGUGCUCCGGCCAUCGGCACCCCCUCCUGAGACGGCUUCCCCACAGCCGAGCAAACCAGAGGGCGCGAGGCUGCUCCGAGUUGCUGUGGGAAAACGGGAGCCGGCAGCGUCCACUUUGAAGCAACAGCUUCUGGCUGAGUUCGGGGCUCCAGGGGAGACCAGACACUUGAUCUCAGGACCCCCAGGAAAAGACGGUCAUGAGUCGCCCGUCAGAACCAAGGCUGGAAGACAGGGAUCAAACAGCACCACCUCCGCUGCACGCGGUUACAGCGGGAGCUGCCCAGGCAGACCCUGGUGCCCUGGGAGACUGCGUGACUCAGGAUGUGACACACUUGGGCCUCAAGGGCAGAGCCCUCUGGGGACAGUAACCCGAGAGCUUCCCUUCCCGAGGGCUCUGCCUGGUACUGCGGACCACCUCCAGCUGGGUCAGCCGCCCUGAGGACCCGGCUUCCCGUAGCAUCCCUCUCCAUCCACCUUGCCGGGGAAGAGAGAAAGCCAGGGUCGGCGCCCACAGACCCAGGCAGAGGCCGGUGUCAGGAUCCCAGAAGAGGUGAGACUGAGGGGUGGGCACGGUGGGUGUCGUUGACAAGCUUUGAGGGAGAGGCUGGGUGGUGUCCACCUGUGCUGUGGGGACACUGGCCCAGAGGACCCCGCUUCAGAAAAGUGCUCCUGGGGCCAGCGCUGUGACGCAGCAGAAGCCGCACUGCGACGCCAGCAUCACACGUCGGGGCACCGGUUCAAGUCCCGGUUGUUCUGCUUCUGAUCCAGCUCCCUGCUAAUGUGUCUGGGAAGGCAGCAGAAGAUGGCCCUGCCACCGUGUGGGGGACCUGGUUGGAGUUCCAGGCUCCUGGCUUUGGCCUGGCCCCAGGCACAGUCAUUACGGGCAUUUGGGGCGUGAACCAGCUGAUAGAAGAUCGCUCUGCCUCUGUGACUUUCAAAUAAAUAAAAUAAAUCUGAAAAAUCGGUGCCGUCGACCCACCGGAGACAGCGGCUUGCUGGGCCCCCGUCACCUCUCGAUGGAUUUCGGGCAUCUGUCUGCCACAUGGCGAGGUGGAUGGCUUUGAUCACCAUUUACUUGCUCACAAUCCGUGGAGCAGGAGGCAGACAGCACCACAGGUGCUGUGAGCUGGAGUGCCCUGGGCUGCAUUCCCAGCCCCCAGACGCCAGCCCUGUCCCCCAGCCCAGAGUCUGGAGCGAGCAGUCAGGCCCAUUCCCAGGUGGGAGAGCGGAGGAGUCCUCUAGGGGCAGCGCCCACCAAGCCUGCCCUGAAGUUCACGGCUUCUCCCUCACGUGGGACUUGCCAUCAGCUUCCCUGUGCACUCCCAACGCAACAGACACCAACAGGCACCAUGCGACUGCCGGGCACGCGAGGGGCUUCCCUGACAUGAGAGACAAGAAUGAACAGGAAGACUGGGUGAGCCUGUGGUGCAGUGGUCAAGCUCCCAUUGCAGGGCCAGUGUCCCAUAUCAGGGGUUCGAGUCCCAGCUCCCUGCUAAUGGCCUGAGAAAGCAGCAGAGCAGGGCCCAAGUGCUUGAGCCCCUGCCACUCACGUAGGAGAUCUGGAUGGGUUCUUGGCUCCUGGCUUCAGCCUGGCCCAGUCCCAGCCAUCGCAGCCAUCUGAGGAGUGAACCGGCAGACAGAAGACCGCUCUCUCGCUGACUUUCAAAUAAAGAAAUAAAUACUCUAAAAGGAGGAGGAAGAGACUAGAAAGAAAUACGCCACUCAGAGAAGACAGGGACCCCAGAGGCAGAACCCUAGAAAAGAUUCACAGGAACUUUAAUCAUCGUCUUCAGGGAGAUAAAAGGCCUUACACCCAGCAUGUCAGAGAGGAAGUCCGCUAGAAGAAUAUUUAGGGGAAAAGGAACUUUUGGGAAUUACAAGUAUGUCAGAAAUGAAACAUCUCAGGUGACAGUCAAACAUGUCAUAUAAAAAUAGAACAAAAAGACAAAAGUGUGGAAAGGUAAUGGGAGAAUUGUUGAGGAGGGCCAGACAGGGCAGAAAACCAGGUAAUGGAGGCAAUGGGCGCCUGUGGACCACAGUGCCGAUCCUGGGCAGAGGGAUCUCCAGGUCUGGCAGGUCACUGAUGGAAAAGAACCCGACACAGACGCCACAGCAAGCUUAGCCCGGAACCUAAAACCCACGGAAAUACAGUGGAGAGCCCUCAGCCUUCCAGACGGGGGAGAACAAAGAGGCCACGCCGGGCGGGAGAAGGAAUUUGGAAUUGCGUCAGAUCGCGUGCGAGUGAUUUUGAAACACGGCCACAAAGCCCCAGACACUCAGCGAUCUCUGGGGACGCUGGGCAGGCUCGUGCCUGCCUGGACAAGGGGAUGCUGCGGAAGUGACGCCGUGGCCCUCACAGCUGGGCUUUGUAGAUCCUCUGUGCCACUCAUCACAGGCUUCGUGCGAGGGGUCCCACUGCCUGGAGGCUGCGGGGGAGGGGGGAGGAUGGGUGCUGGGGCCUUGGCCAGCCCGACUUCCAGGUGCCAGCCAGCUGGGAAAGAAAGCCUCAAGGUGACCUUGGAAGAGCUGUCACCUGACUGUGACCCCAGGAGACUGAGAACUGCCCGGAUUCACAGGAGACAGAAUUGGUAAAACCAAUCCAUCGUUUUAAGAAAAAUGACUGGAUCCCUUACCUCACGCCAUACCCAGUCAACUCCAGAGAGAUCACUGGUUCUCAGCCGGGCGCCCGGCAACAUUGGGAUGCGUCUGUGUUGUCAUGGCUUGUGGGGUGCUGCGGGCUCCUGGGGGAGCUGCGUGGUACCCACAGUGCACAGGACUGCGCCUGCCACGAGGACAUCUCCAGCCUGAACCGCCCGUGGGUCCAGGCAGAGUGACCGCGCAGCAGGGUCCACCUACAUGCUGGACGGGAAGAAAACCCCAACCAAUAGUAACAAUGCUGCUGAUGAUGAUGAUAAGGACGUCCUCCUGACCCUGGCAUGACUGCACAGGGCCCCUGACCGGAUGACCUUGACUACUCAAAGCUGAAGGUCACGUGUCAGAUCUGUCACAUCUGACAGAUGGCAAACUCAGGCAACACCUGCAGCAUCUGACAGGGAGGAAGCCUUGUGGUUAUGGCAGGGAAGGCGGUGACCUAACUAAGUUCUUCAGAAUCCCCCCAAAGCCGCAAGCAACAGGAGAACCAAGCAUGCGCCCCCCACCCUUGGGAAAGUCGGAGGCACAGGAAGUGAUGACGGCUAUGAACUUCUACACACCAAACCACACACCCAGACAUCCGCAAAGCAAAAGCCGACAGCAGCGGCUGGCGGUGUGGCAUAGCGGGUUAAGCCGCCUCCUGCACCGCCAGCAACCCAUAUCAGUGCCAAUUUGGGUCCCAGCUGCUCUGCUUCAAAUCCAGCUCCCUUCUCAUGCACCUGGGAAGGCAGUGGAGAUGGCCCAAGUGCUUGGCCCCUGCACCCACGUGGGAGACCCAGAUGAAGCUCCUGGCUCCUGGCUUCGGCCUGGCCCAGCCCCUCCCAGCUGCUAUGGCCAUUUAGGGGGCGAACCAGUGGAUAGAAAUUUUCCUCUGUGUCUCUUCCUCUCUGUCUCUGUAACUCUGCCUUUCAAAUAAAUCUUUGAAAAAAAAAAAAAAAAAAAAGCUAAUGAGAGGCCAGGACUUUGGCAGCUCUAAGGAACAGGAAGAGAACGAAGGCGAAGGCACCAGCCUUUUCAUUGCUACUGGACAUUUGCUAAGAUAGCCAUGUUCCAUGCCUCAAGGAGGGAGUUAGAGGGGCUGGCUCUGUGGCGCAGUGCAUUAAAGCCCUGGCCUGCUGCAUUGGCAUCCCACAUGGCGCUGGUUCGAGUCCCGGCUGCUCCACUUCCUGUCCAGCUCUCUGCUGUGGCCUGGGAAAGCAGUAAAAGAUGGCCCAAGUCCUUGGGCCCUGCACCCAUGUGGGAGACCCAGAAGAAGCUCCUGGCUCCUGGCUUCAGAUCAGCCCAGCUCCAGCCAUUGCGGUCAUCUGGGGAGUGAACCAAUGGAUGGAAGACCUCUCUCUCUGUCUGGCUCUACCUCUCUGUAACUCUGUCAAAUAAAUUUAAAAAAAAAUAUUUUUUUAAAGUAAGAUUUAGAGCAUGAGGGAGAGGCAGAGACAGUACAGCUAACAGUCUCAGAAAUAAAACUAAAAAUAGCAAAAACCAGGAAACGAAAAACAGCCUACCACCUGCACAUUUAUAAAUCUCACUUAACGUGACUCCUGUCAAAAGAGGAAAUAAACACUGAAAUCGCAGCGCCUCUAGCAAACGGUAAUAAAGGAGCUCCAUAUAUCAGCGCCCAGGUCUGCUUGUCCGACUGCCUCAGACUACAGCCGCGGCUGGGCCAGCCGCGCACACCUUGUUCUUCAAAACAGCCUGGCCGGUGGGUGCUUUGCUGUUGCUUACAUUUAGCGCCAGCUUUCGCAGUUUCAGGCGCAUCCCGGUGGGGUUUCUGCCGGGAACUUGCAGUGAGCGUAUCCAUUCAUUUGGAAGGAAGCGGCAUCUUUAUUCAAUUAUCCCACCCCACCUGGGAAGGCCCGCUGAGCAGCGAGGGGGCUGGGGGCCUGGGCGCACGCAGGAGGAAGUCAUAAAUACCGCCCCGGCCUGGGGGACCCCCAUCCCGCAGCCUUUGCGGCCAGAGGUUUGCCCGGGGGAGGAAGCUGGCUUCGCAAGGUGCAGAGCCGUCAAGGGAACAAGACGAACAGCUCACCCUGUUUCUAACGACACUUCAACGGGUUCUUGCUCUUUCUUUUUGCUGAUUUAUGGGAGGCGCUUGCGCACAGGGCAGCCGAGUCUUCCGUUCCUAACAGCUUGGAUUAGGCGGAGGCGGGCGUAAGCUCCUCUGAGCAUCUGGCAUCUCAAGUAGCCCUCAAGGGCCACGCGGUGCCCGUGGGGAGGAAGCAGAGCCCCGAGCUUUUGUGUUGGGAGACAAAGGAGGUGCAGGCAGGAAGCCAGGUGUAGGCAGGGGACCCACACGGAGACACCAGGUUCCCAGCUCGGCUCCCAGGGCUCUGCACAGGCUCUGCUGCCCUGGGAGCCACAGGACACAGGUGCCCACUGAGGUCCCCCCGAUGGACGCUGCAGGCCAUGUCCCAUGCUUGAGGACCAGGCUGAGCCGAGGGGGGACCCUGAGAUCCAGGACUGAGAGGAGAGGGUCUGGGAGGGAUCCGAGCCAGGCCAGCAGGGAGGGAGAGCUGCGCCGUGCCUCAGCGGCUGGGGGCUCCCCUCCUUCACCCUGACCGUGGCUUAAAGGCACGGGAAAGUCAACAGGGAGAGUCCUAGCCCCUGACGCAGAGCAGGUGCACCCUGUGCUUUGCAACCCCAACAAAACCCCAGGAGGACAAGGACAAGCUCUGUGGAGUCUCUCCCCGAAGGAAACAGGAAGAGGGCCCCCAGCCAGGGCCCGAGCUGGAGCCUGGGUCUCCGCCAGGGAGCGGGAGCACAGCCAGGCGGAGCACACAGGCUGGGGGCCAGGUCCUGGGUGUGUACCCGGGGCUGGUAGAGCCGACCGCCCAGCCACGGCCUUGGCCAGGCCUCCGCCACCAGCCUGGAGCAGAAGCCGGAAGUGCAGACCCAAGGGAGAACACAGGAGUGCGGGUGGUGGUGGUGCAGGGACAGCAGAGUUCCGGUGGGGUCCACCGCCUUGCGCCUGGGAAAGGAGCGGAGGACGGCCCAAGUGCUCAGCGCCCUGCAGCGCCUGGGAGACCUGGACGGAGCUCCUGGCUCCUGGCUCCAGCCUGGCCCAGCCUCAGCCAUUGUGGCCCCUUGAGGAGUGAACCAGUGGAUGGAAGAUCUCUCUCUCUCUCUCCCUCCCUCCCUCCCUCCCUCUUUUUCUGUGACUCUGCCAGCGCUGCGGCUCACUAGGCUAAUCCUCCGCCUUGUGGCGCCGGCACACUGGGUUCUAGUCCCGGUCGGGGCGCCAGAUUCUGUCCCGGUUGCCCCUCUUCCAGGCCAGCUCUCUGCUGUGGCCCGGGAGUGCAGUGGAGGAUGGCCCAAGUGCUUGGGCCCUGCACCCCAUGGGAGACCAGGAGAAGCACCUGGCUCCUGGCUUUCGAUCGGUGUGGUACGCCGGCAGCAGCACGCCACUGGAGCAGACAUUG
This is a non-coding RNA of Oryctolagus cuniculus (rabbit), 7962 nucleotides long. NCBI's taxonomy places the organism in Eukaryota, Metazoa, Chordata, Mammalia, Lagomorpha, Leporidae. The record is from RefSeq and is a predicted model, not a curated record.